RNAcentral lists this ribosomal RNA (740 nucleotides) under uncultured bacterium. Its description in RNAcentral is "bacterial SSU rRNA". It matches the Rfam family "Bacterial small subunit ribosomal RNA", at positions 41 to 802 of the family's 1533-position model. The record is from RNAcentral.
GGCGUGGAUAAGACAUGCAAGUCGAACGAGAGAAUUGCUAGCUUGCUAAUAAUUCUCUAGUGGCGCACGGGUGAGUAACACGUGAGUAACCUGCCCCCGAGAGCGGGAUAGCCCUGGGAAACUGGGAUUAAUACCGCAUAGUAUCGAAAGAUUAAAGCAGCAAUGCGCUUGGGGAUGGGCUCGCGGCCUAUUAGUUAGUUGGUGAGGUAACGGCUCACCAAGGCGAUGACGGGUAGCCGGUCUGAGAGGAUGUCCGGCCACACUGGAACUGAGACACGGUCCAGACACCUACGGGUGGCAGCAGUCGAGAAUCAUUCACAAUGGGGGAAACCCUGAUGGUGCGACGCCGCGUGGGGGAAUGAAGGUCUUCGGAUUGUAAACCCCUGUCAUGUGGGAGCAAAUUAAAAAGAUAGUACCACAAGAGGAAGAGACGUCUAACUAUGUGCCAGCAGCAGCGGUAAUACAGAGGUCUCAAGCGUUGUUCGGAAUCACUGGGCGUAAAGCGUGCGUAGGCUGUUUCGUAAGUCGUGUGUGAAAGGCGCGGGCUCAACCCGCGGACGGCACAUGAUACUGCGAGACUAGAGUAAUGGAGGGGGAACCGGAAUUCUCGGUGUAGCAGUGAAAUGCGUAGAUAUCGAGAGGAACACUCGUGGCGAAGGCGGGUUCCUGGACAUUAACUGUCGCUGAGGCACGAAGGCCAGGGGAGCGAAAAAGAUUAGAUACCCCUGUAGUCCUGGCAG